This 1381-nucleotide long non-coding RNA is filed under the name Olea europaea subsp. europaea. The record is from RNAcentral. Lineage: Eukaryota; Viridiplantae; Streptophyta; Magnoliopsida; Lamiales; Oleaceae.
GUCGUUUUUAGUAUUGAUGUACUAUUGUUUUAUUUUUUUAUUGUCAUUAAAUCCCUAACCAAAACCUCGACAUUUGUCGUCAAAAAAAUUUUGCCCGCACUGAAAUAAAAUCCUGGCUCCGCCCCUGUCUGGGAUGGUCUUCAAAAACCCCGGGGCACCUCCACAACCUGCAAGACAAAUCAUUAUUACCCAAAAUAGAGUUCGAACACAUGAUCAACGGAAAAAGUAUUGGUAUAUACGCAAUUGAUGUUAGAUAGGCUUCAAUUGGCAUAAUAGAUAAUGAAUAAUAAUCAACUACAACAAAACUACAAAAUGCCGAAUUAACAAACAGCAAUCUAAUUGAUACAUAAAGUCACUAACCCUUCGUUUCCAUUUAGGGUAACUAAGGGAAUGCAGCAGAUAUUUUUGAAUAAAAUCAUAUUAGCAAAAUCCACUCCCCAAACAUAAUUAGAGAAAUGAUGGAGAAAUGUGCAUUAUAUAUAUUAAUCCCUGUACAUAGAAAUUAAAUGCCAAUACUGCAAUCUAUUAUACAAAAAUUUCAUACGAAUUCAAAACCACUUUCCAAACAUCAAUGAGGCUUUGUUUGUCUACCAUUUUACCACAUUAACGUUACUUUUUCUAUGGUACUCAAUUUCAACCAAACAUUCUUCAUUAAAAUAAUAUUACACGUAAAUAAAAAAAAAUCCUCUUUUUUAAUCACACAUUUCAACGACAAUUACUAUUUCAUAAUAUAUUAUUCACAAAUGAUGGGUACAAACACCCCGAAUAAAUAAAAUUUCAAGAAAAAUCUUCAGUUCCUCAUUUUUUUUUUUAGCAAUAUAUACACAUAACAAAGACAAGUUAUUUACAUAAAAAUGUUAAUAAAUAAAAGAAAUAAAACCUCGUCAUUAUCAGACUCUUGGGCACAUAAUUCGCUUAAAACCGAGACCCAAAUUAAUUAAUUCUUCGAAAAAGUCAAAAAUAACAUAACCUUAAAAGCUCACCAAUAGAAAUAUUAAAACACAAACAGAUAAAUUAUGGCGUAAAAUAAACGGUACCGGGCAAAUUGAUGUCGAUUUUGAAAGAGCCACCUUCAUAAGGAGUACCAAGAGGACCAGGGAUUGUACCAAGCAAGUGGGCCAAAUUAGCAUCGCUCUUCGGCAUAACUUUUAUGCCUGAAACCUCAAAAUCCCGGUUGCAUUCUUGCAACUCCUUCUGUACCCGUGCAAAAUCCACCAUUUUUUUUUUCUUUCUGAAUUUCAAUUCCAAGGGUUAGAAGGAUCAGGAAGAGCGAGAGAAAAAGGAGGAGAGACAAAGAGUUGUGGUUUUCUUGUUCUUUCUUGUUACAAGACUCAUCAAUUCCUCUUUAUCGAAAAGACUCUGCGCGUGAAACGGUUGUUUU